This 331-nucleotide unclassified non-coding RNA is filed under the name soil metagenome. RNAcentral describes it as "partial contains 5.8S ribosomal RNA, internal transcribed spacer 2, and large subunit ribosomal RNA". The stretch from base 1 to 120 matches the Rfam family "5.8S ribosomal RNA", at positions 35 to 154 of the family's 154-position model. The record is from RNAcentral.
GAUGAAGAACGUAGCGAAAUGCGAUAAGUAAUGUGAAUUGCAGAAUUCAGUGAAUCAUCGAAUCUUUGAACGCACAUUGCGCCCGCCAGUAUUCUGGCGGGCAUGCCUGUCCGAGCGUCAUUUCAACCAUCAAGCCCCGGGCUUGUGUUGGGGACCUGCGUCCGACGCAGGCCCUGAAAACCAGUGGCGGGCUCGCUGUCCACACCGAGCGUAGUAACUAACCUCGCUAUGGAGUGGCGCGGGCGCCUGCCGUAAAACCCCCAAUUUCACAAGGUUGACCUCGGAUCAGGUAGGAAUACCCGCUGAACUUAAGCAUAUCAAUAAGCGAGGA